GACGAACGCUGGCGGCGUGCUUAACACAUGCAAGUCGAACGGUAAGGCCCUUCGGGGUACACGAGUGGCGAACGGGUGAGUAACACGUGGGUGAUCUGCCCUGCACUUCGGGAUAAGCCUGGGAAACUGGGUCUAAUACCGGAUAGGACUCCUGGCUUCAUGGUUGGGGGUGGAAAGCUUUUGCGGUGUGGGAUGGGCCCGCGGCCUAUCAGCUUGUUGGUGGGGUAAUGGCCUACCAAGGCGACGACGGGUAGCCGGCCUGAGAGGGUGACUGGUAACACGGGGAAUGAGAUACGGCCCAGACUCCUAGGGGAGGCAGCAGUGGGGAAUAUUGACCAAUGGGCGCAAGCCUGAUGCGGCGACGCCGCGUGAGGGAUGACGGCCUUCGGGUUGUAAACCUCUUUCAGCUAUGACGAAGCGCAAGUGACGGUAGUAGCAGAAGAAGGACCGGCCAACUACGUGCCAGCCGCCGCCGUAA
RNAcentral lists this ribosomal RNA (478 nucleotides) under uncultured bacterium. Its description in RNAcentral is "partial 16S ribosomal RNA". It matches the Rfam family "Bacterial small subunit ribosomal RNA", at positions 28 to 523 of the family's 1533-position model. The record is from RNAcentral.